AAAAAAUCCAUCCGAUGGCUCUAAUUCUGGCAAUGAGUUCGUUAAAGUAGGUACCCGACAGCAGCCACUCCUGCGACUGCGAGAGGAAAGAAAAAAUAAUGGAGAGCUUGUGUUUCCACAGUUAUAUCCCUUCAAUUCUUCCAUUUCAAAAGUUCGUUACUAAUCCCUACAGUCACAAUUCCUUCUCCAACUCCAAUUCCAGAAACCCACUCCGUUUUCCUUCCAGUUCAAAUUCAAAAUUCACGGUUCAUUGUACGGAGAGAACCAGAGAGGAUACUCCUCUUUCCAGUUCUUCUGCUUACACGGUGCUCGGCGUUGAUCCCGGCUGCUCAUCCGCCGAGCUUAAGGCCGCUUUCCGAGCCAAAGUGAAGCAGUUCCAUCCUGAUGUGAAUAGAGAUGGGGAUGAUUCUGAUACCAUGAUUCGCCGCGUAAUUCAAGCAUAUCAGGUACCCUUUUCUGCUUUAUUCAUUUUCGAUUCAAAAUUUUCAUGUUUUAAUUUCUGAUUUUUAGUGAGGGAGUUAGUUGAAAAUGGUGUUUGUCAACAAUUUUUGUAGAUGAUAUCUAACUGCAGCCGAUUAGAGAUCAUCGAAAGGUGAACUUUUUGUUUCCAGUACGUUCAGAAUUCAGUACCAUGAAAAUUGAAAAAUCCUUUUCGAAAUUCAUUAUCCUUCAUCACUUAGUUCUUGAUCCUCGUCUGUUUGAUCUGCUUGCUCUUCUUUAUUUUUUCCCCAUUUCCCUAUAAUUUGCAGGGCAUGUUUAGAUCCCUUUGAUAAGCCAGAGUGUGAAGCAUUUGACAUCUUUGUUAAUGAAGUUCUUUGUGUUGGCAAAGGUAGUAGUGUAUUGGUUUUCUAUCAUGUUCCACCUCUUAUAAAAGAAAUACUAUGUAGAGUAGGUAUUUGGAGAUGUAACUGCAAAUUUUUUAAAAUAUAAUGAAUUAGUGUAUUCUGUUGGUGGCUGAAAUUCUGUUCCUGCAUGCCUCAAUAUCAUCUGAUCCAUAUGUGCUGAACCUGUUAUGAUAUUGAAUGAUGGUAUCAGUAUAUCUCAUGAUCUUCCAAACCCCUCCAUUUUGAGUCAUUUGAACCAAAUUAGACCGAAAACUCCAUCAAAUAGCAAAUGAGUGUGCUUUUUCACCUUUUGCAGGAUGUCCUUAUUCAUGUGUACAAAGAGCUCCUCAUGCCUUUGCUUAUGCUUGUUUAACUGGAACUGCAAGGGCGAUAUCUCAAGGGCAUGGUGAAGAUUACCAAGUUCAGCUUGCCGUUGGUCAGUGCCCAAGAAGUUGUAUUCAUUACGUGACACCUUCACAGAGAAUCAUUCUAGAGGAGUUGCUUGACAGGUAUCUGUAUCUCACAUUUUACCUGGAGAAUUUUGCUAUUGCACUAUAUGGUCUGUGAAUUGAUCCAAAAAAGUAAAAUGAAAAACCACUUUAACGGUAACUGCAGCUACAUAAUUAUGAAGAAAACCACUUUAACCGUACUGCAGCUACAUAAUUAUGAUGCUUCUGUUUCCUGCUUUUUUCUGUUUAUAUGUCAAGGUUCGUGACUGGCCAUUCUUCCUCCAUUUUCUUCUAUCCCACUGCUCCUAUUUUUCUCUGCCUUACAACCAUAUUUUUCUUCUUAAUGGUUUACCAUUAACUUCUACUUGCUUGCAGUAUCUUGAAUGCACCGUAUGAUUGUUCAGCAGAGGCAGACUUGCUAUAUUCUCUUAUAGUUAAAGCUAGAUUUGAGAACAAUCGGUUCCAGAAGCCGAAGAAGCAACCAAAGACUUCAACUCAACACGUGGAUUGGUUUACUUGAGUACUGCUGGUAAGCGGAUUCAUGUUCAAUCACCAAUAGUACCAAUUUACAGAACCCGCAAAAUAGCAAAGAAAGUAGAAGAAAAUUCUAAUUGUAGAUAUCAAGGGAAUGAUGACUUUGAAUAUUACUUCAUCGAAGGAGCUGAUGCUAGAAGCAUGUAGCGAAGAGAGAAACAUAUUGGCUUUGCUAGGCGACAGGUGAUUCAAGAGAAAGCUGGGAAAUUUGUAUUCUGCUGAAGGCAUGUGUAGUCAUACACAUCGUCAUAUUUAUUCUUUUAUAUGGAGCAAUGCCGCCGAUGAAAAAUCUUGUCACCAAUGGAUUUGAGUUCAAUUAAUUUAUGCUUUAUAAAUCUUUUUUAUUGUUUAUGAAGUAAACAUUAUGAGCAUUGGUUCAUGAUGGAAGGGAAUAAGAAAAAUAUGUAGUUGUGGUUGUGGAGACUAGAAAUGGUAUUUGAAACUAAUCCCACAUAGGAUAUUGAAGAGCGGAGUUGGAAAGGGUAGUGGCUAUAAAUGAUAAGCGGAAUGCAACGGGUUUCCAUACUUACCUGGACGGGGUCAAUGGGUGAUCAAGAAGGCUCAUGGCCUAGGUCAGUGACUUCCAUUGCACUUGGGAGGGGUGCUGUCCUAAGGUCUCCCCAAGUGGGAGAGCCUACGUCAUAAUUUGUGGCAGUGGGGGCCUGCGUUCGCGCGGCCUCUGGCUUGACCAGUUAAAACCUUUGGUCCAAUUAAAUUAAAUAGUUGUGUUUUAUAUUUUAAUUUCUAUUAAUGUAUGAAAUAUGGAAGAUUAAAGUACUAGGUUUUAUUGUUGCACCAUAAAUAGAAAUUUUUUUGUAGAAAAAUAAAAUGUAAAGAAA
This 2646-nucleotide unclassified non-coding RNA is filed under the name Hevea brasiliensis (rubber tree). The stretch from base 2330 to 2489 matches the Rfam family "U1 spliceosomal RNA". The record is from RNAcentral. Lineage: Eukaryota; Viridiplantae; Streptophyta; Magnoliopsida; Malpighiales; Euphorbiaceae.